GACGAACCGUGCGAACGUUGUUCGGAAUCACUGGGCUUAAAGGGCGCGUAGGCGGCUCGCGAGGUCGGGGGUGAAAUCCCACGGCUUAACCGUGGAAGGGCCUCCGAUACCGGCGGGCUGGAGGAAGGUAGGGGUGCGCGGAACUUCUGGUGGAGCGGUGAAAUGCGUUGAUAUCAGAAGGAACGCCGGCGGCGAAAGCGGCGCACUGGACCUUUUCUGACGCUGAGGCGCGAAAGCCAGGGGAGCAAACGGG
Molecule: ribosomal RNA, 253 nt
Filed under: uncultured bacterium
Lineage: Bacteria
Description: partial 16S ribosomal RNA
Rfam family: Bacterial small subunit ribosomal RNA
Source: RNAcentral